This 366-nucleotide ribosomal RNA is filed under the name uncultured organism. RNAcentral's name for it is "bacterial SSU rRNA". It matches the Rfam family "Bacterial small subunit ribosomal RNA", at positions 526 to 896 of the family's 1533-position model. The record is from RNAcentral.
CGUAGGGGGCAAACGUUGUCCGGAUUUACUGGGUGUAAAGGGUGCUCAGGCGGUUUUGUAAGUCAGAAGUGAAAUCCUAGGGCUUAACUCUGGAACUGCUUUUGAUACUGCAAGGCUUGAAUAUGGAAGAGGAGGGCGGAAUUUCUGGUGUAGCAGUGAAAUGCGUAGAUAUCAGAAAGAACACCAGUGGCGAAGGCGGCCCUCUGGUCCAUUAUUGACGCUAAAGCACGAAAGCGUGGGGAGCAAACAGGAUUAGAUACCCUGGUAGUCCACGCCUUAAACGAUGAAUACUAGACGUUGGGGUUAAACUUAGUGUCGCAGCUAACGCAUUAAGUAUUCCACCUGGGGAGUACGAUCGCAAGGUUG